Molecule: long non-coding RNA, 1158 nt
Organism: Pan troglodytes (chimpanzee)
Lineage: Eukaryota; Metazoa; Chordata; Mammalia; Primates; Hominidae
Exons: 3
Source: RefSeq, a predicted model, not a curated record
CUAGGACAGCUAGGUCCACAGGACAGCACCAAGAGUUACUCUGCACGCUUAUAGUACCUGUUUAUGAACAGAAACAGAGGCAAUAUUCACAUGAAAGCUCAAAUGUGGAUCUCUCCUACCAUAGUCACGUCUUCACAAGCUGACAGCCCUCUCAAUUCUGAGAUUUGUUAUUCAGCCUUUUCCCAAUAGGAUCUACAAAGCACCUCUUGACCAUUUAUCACGCAUGGAACCAACAUGUCAAAUUCCUCAAUAACUGAUUCCCGCCUAGGAUCACACUCAUUGACUAGCUCCACCAAUUCUUACAAUUCAUUCAGGCUCUGCUACAAGCAUACAGCUUUGCUAGAAGUAGAUUUCUUCUAGGAAAUUUCAUGCUACUGAGAGGUUGUGUGGCAGAGCCAUGUUGCCAUUCUUCCAGCAUGACUUGAUAGCUAAGUUGAACACUAUCCCAAGGAGAUGCCUCCUUGACAAUUUACACUACAAAGUGAAUCAUAACCCUGACCCUGGAGACUGCUAUAACGGGCUCCUGUGAGAGUUCUAUUUGCAGAACCCAGAAUUCACAACGGAACAUCAACAUAUCCAAAAGACAAGUUUCAAUGAACAGAUUCUCAGCAAAAGGACUCUAAGGAUGCAGAGGAAGGGAAGUCGCCCAAUCUGGGAAGGAGGAAGGGGGUAGUGAGAAGUUGUUCCAUUUAGAACACUGAGGCCCUGGCUAAGACUCCUUGUUCCAGGGACGGACAGAGAAACAUGAAAUGCCUGCUCCACAAUGCUAUGCUGAACAACCAGAGGAAGUUAUAGGAUCUCACAGACUAUUAGAACCGGACUGAGAAAUCCACUUAAAUAUGAAGUCAGUUUAGAAAGGAGAAAGGUGUGACAUGUUCAAUCAAAAGAAACCUGGAGCUGACUACAGCAGAGAAAGUUGUCAUGAAUGAUAGUGAGCAUUACAUGCAAGGACAGUCCAAGAAGUCGUCUUUGUACCUAAGAGCAUCAAGAUGAAAUGUGAACUGAUAAGACAAAUCCACUCCUGUAGUUGAGGAUGUCAACACCCUCAGUAAUGGGCAGACCCAGAAGGCAUGGACAUAACUGAUCAGUCAACUGGGCUUUGUGACCACUUAUACAAUAGUUUGUUCCUGUUGAAAUAAAGAUGUUCACUCCACUGAA